Molecule: ribosomal RNA, 823 nt
Filed under: uncultured bacterium
Lineage: Bacteria
Description: bacterial SSU rRNA
Rfam family: Bacterial small subunit ribosomal RNA
Source: RNAcentral
GUGAAAUGCGUAGAUAUCAGGAGGAACACCGGUGGUGUAGACGGCUCUCUGGACCGUAACUGACGCUGAGACACGAAAGUGUGGGUAGCAAACAGGAUUAGAUACCGUGGUAGUCCACGCCCUAAACGAUGCAUAUUUGGUGUAGGUCAUUCAGUUGAUCUGUGCCGGAGCUAACGCGUUAAAUAUGCCGCCUGGGGAGUACAGUCGCAAGGCUGAGACUCAAAGGAAUUGACGGGGGCCCGCACAAGCGGUGGAGCAUGUGGUUCAAUUCGACGCAACGCGAAGAACCUUACCUGGGCUCGAACGGCUGGUCAACGGCGGUGGAAACACCGCUACUCCGCAAGGGGGUCCAGUCGAGGUGCUGCAUGGCUGUCGUCAGCUCGUGUCGUGAGAUGUUGGGUUAAGUCCCGCAACGAGCGCAACCCUCGUCCUGUGUUGCCACCCGCAAGGGGGCACUCGCAGGAGACCGCCAGCGAUAAGCUGGAGGAAGGUGGGGAUGACGUCAAGUCCUCAUGGCCUUUAUGUCCAGGGCUACACACGUGCUACAAUGGCCGGUACAAAGCGUUCCCAAGCCGCGAGGUGGAGGCAAUCGCAAAAAACCGGUCUCAGUUCGGAUUGCAGGCUGCAACUCGCCUGCAUGAAGCUGGAAUCGCUAGUAAUGGCAGAUCAGCACGCUGCCGUGAAUACGUUCCCGGGCCUUGUACACACCGCCCGUCACAUCACGAAAGUGGGUUGUACUAGAAGUCCGCAGGCUAACCCGCAAGGGGGGCAGCGGCCCAAGGUAUGACUCAUGAUUGGGGUGAAGUCGUAACAAGGUAACCGU